UUGAACGCUGGCGGCAGGCCUAACACAUGCAAGUCGAGCGGAUGAAGGGAGCUUGCUCCUGGAUUCAGCGGCGGACGGGUGAGUAAUGCCUAGGAAUCUGCCUGGUAGUGGGGGAUAACGUCCGGAAACGGGCGCUAAUACCGCAUACGUCCUGAGGGAGAAAGUGGGGGAUCUUCGGACCUCACGCUAUCAGAUGAGCCUAGGUCGGAUUAGCUAGUUGGUGGGGUAAAGGCCUACCAAGGCGACGAUCCGUAACUGGUCUGAGAGGAUGAUCAGUCACACUGGAACUGAGACACGUUCCAGACUCCUACGGGAGGCAGCAGUGGGGAAUAUUGGACAAUGGGCGAAAGCCUGAUCCAGCCAUGCCGCGUGUGUGAAGAAGGUCUUCGGAUUGUAAAGCACUUUAAGUUGGGAGGAAGGGCAGUAAGUUAAUACCUUGCUGUUUUGACGUUACCAACAGAAUAAGCACCGGCUAACUUCGUG
This 483-nucleotide ribosomal RNA is filed under the name uncultured bacterium. RNAcentral's name for it is "partial 16S ribosomal RNA". It matches the Rfam family "Bacterial small subunit ribosomal RNA", at positions 30 to 507 of the family's 1533-position model. The record is from RNAcentral.